This 2904-nucleotide ribosomal RNA is filed under the name Escherichia coli. RNAcentral describes it as "23S ribosomal RNA". It matches the Rfam family "Bacterial large subunit ribosomal RNA". The record is from RNAcentral. Lineage: Bacteria; Pseudomonadati; Pseudomonadota; Gammaproteobacteria; Enterobacterales; Enterobacteriaceae.
GGUUAAGCGACUAAGCGUACACGGUGGAUGCCCUGGCAGUCAGAGGCGAUGAAGGACGUGCUAAUCUGCGAUAAGCGUCGGUAAGGUGAUAUGAACCGUUAUAACCGGCGAUUUCCGAAUGGGGAAACCCAGUGUGAUUCGUCACACUAUCAUUAACUGAAUCCAUAGGUUAAUGAGGCGAACCGGGGGAACUGAAACAUCUAAGUACCCCGAGGAAAAGAAAUCAACCGAGAUUCCCCCAGUAGCGGCGAGCGAACGGGGAGCAGCCCAGAGCCUGAAUCAGUGUGUGUGUUAGUGGAAGCGUCUGGAAAGGCGCGCGAUACAGGGUGACAGCCCCGUACACAAAAAUGCACAUACUGUGAGCUCGAUGAGUAGGGCGGGACACGUGGUAUCCUGUCUGAAUAUGGGGGGACCAUCCUCCAAGGCUAAAUACUCCUGACUGACCGAUAGUGAACCAGUACCGUGAGGGAAAGGCGAAAAGAACCCCGGCGAGGGGAGUGAAAAAGAACCUGAAACCGUGUACGUACAAGCAGUGGGAGCACGCUUAGGCGUGUGACUGCGUACCUUUUGUAUAAUGGGUCAGCGACUUAUAUUCUGUAGCAAGGUUAACCGAAUAGGGGAGCCGAAGGGAAACCGAGUCUUAACUGGGCGUUAAGUUGCAGGGUAUAGACCCGAAACCCGGUGAUCUAGCCAUGGGCAGGUUGAAGGUUGGGUAACACUAACUGGAGGACCGAACCGACUAAUGUUGAAAAAUUAGCGGAUGACUUGUGGCUGGGGGUGAAAGGCCAAUCAAACCGGGAGAUAGCUGGUUCUCCCCGAAAGCUAUUUAGGUAGCGCCUCGUGAAUUCAUCUCCGGGGGUAGAGCACUGUUUCGGCAAGGGGGUCAUCCCGACUUACCAACCCGAUGCAAACUGCGAAUACCGGAGAAUGUUAUCACGGGAGACACACGGCGGGUGCUAACGUCCGUCGUGAAGAGGGAAACAACCCAGACCGCCAGCUAAGGUCCCAAAGUCAUGGUUAAGUGGGAAACGAUGUGGGAAGGCCCAGACAGCCAGGAUGUUGGCUUAGAAGCAGCCAUCAUUUAAAGAAAGCGUAAUAGCUCACUGGUCGAGUCGGCCUGCGCGGAAGAUGUAACGGGGCUAAACCAUGCACCGAAGCUGCGGCAGCGACGCUUAUGCGUUGUUGGGUAGGGGAGCGUUCUGUAAGCCUGCGAAGGUGUGCUGUGAGGCAUGCUGGAGGUAUCAGAAGUGCGAAUGCUGACAUAAGUAACGAUAAAGCGGGUGAAAAGCCCGCUCGCCGGAAGACCAAGGGUUCCUGUCCAACGUUAAUCGGGGCAGGGUGAGUCGACCCCUAAGGCGAGGCCGAAAGGCGUAGUCGAUGGGAAACAGGUUAAUAUUCCUGUACUUGGUGUUACUGCGAAGGGGGGACGGAGAAGGCUAUGUUGGCCGGGCGACGGUUGUCCCGGUUUAAGCGUGUAGGCUGGUUUUCCAGGCAAAUCCGGAAAACUAAGGCUGAGGCGUGAUGACGAGGCACUACGGUGCUGAAGCAACAAAUGCCCUGCUUCCAGGAAAAGCCUCUAAGCAUCAGGUAACAUCAAAUCGUACCCCAAACCGACACAGGUGGUCAGGUAGAGAAUACCAAGGCGCUUGAGAGAACUCGGGUGAAGGAACUAGGCAAAAUGGUGCCGUAACUUCGGGAGAAGGCACGCUGAUAUGUAGGUGAAGUCCCUCGCGGAUGGAGCUGAAAUCAGUCGAAGAUACCAGCUGGCUGCAACUGUUUAUUAAAAACACAGCACUGUGCAAACACGAAAGUGGACGUAUACGGUGUGACGCCUGCCCGGUGCCGGAAGGUUAAUUGAUGGGGUCAGCGCAAGCGAAGCUCUUGAUCGAAGCCCCGGUAAACGGCGGCCGUAACUAUAACGGUCCUAAGGUAGCGAAAUUCCUUGUCGGGUAAGUUCCGACCUGCACGAAUGGCGUAAUGAUGGCCAGGCUGUCUCCACCCGAGACUCAGUGAAAUUGAACUCGCUGUGAAGAUGCAGUGUACCCGCGGCAAGACGGAAAGACCCCGUGAACCUUUACUAUAGCUUGACACUGAACAUUGAGCCUUGAUGUGUAGGAUAGGUGGGAGGCUUUGAAGUGUGGACGCCAGUCUGCAUGGAGCCGGCCUUGAAAUACCACCCUUUAAUGUUUGAUGUUCUAACGUUGACCCGUAAUCCGGGUUGCGGACAGUGUCUGGUGGGUAGUUUGACUGGGGCGGUCUCCUCCUAAAGAGUAACGGAGGAGCACGAAGGUUGGCUAAUCCUGGUCGGACAUCAGGAGGUUAGUGCAAUGGCAUAAGCCAGCUUGACUGCGAGCGUGACGGCGCGAGCAGGUGCGAAAGCAGGUCAUAGUGAUCCGGUGGUUCUGAAUGGAAGGGCCAUCGCUCAACGGAUAAAAGGUACUCCGGGGAUAACAGGCUGAUACCGCCCAAGAGUUCAUAUCGACGGCGGUGUUUGGCACCUCGAUGUCGGCUCAUCACAUCCUGGGGCUGAAGUAGGUCCCAAGGGUAUGGCUGUUCGCCAUUUAAAGUGGUACGCGAGCUGGGUUUAGAACGUCGUGAGACAGUUCGGUCCCUAUCUGCCGUGGGCGCUGGAGAACUGAGGGGGGCUGCUCCUAGUACGAGAGGACCGGAGUGGACGCAUCACUGGUGUUCGGGUUGUCAUGCCAAUGGCACUGCCCGGUAGCUAAAUGCGGAAGAGAUAAGUGCUGAAAGCAUCUAAGCACGAAACUUGCCCCGAGAUGAGUUCUCCCUGACUCCUUGAGAGUCCUGAAGGAACGUUGAAGACGACGACGUUGAUAGGCCGGGUGUGUAAGCGCAGCGAUGCGUUGAGCUAACCGGUACUAAUGAACCGUGAGGCUUAACCUU